Molecule: ribosomal RNA, 859 nt
Filed under: Stachybotrys chartarum
Lineage: Eukaryota; Fungi; Ascomycota; Sordariomycetes; Hypocreales; Stachybotryaceae
Description: eukaryotic LSU rRNA
Rfam family: Eukaryotic large subunit ribosomal RNA
Source: RNAcentral
CGUUGACCUCGGAUCAGGUAGGAAUACCCGCUGAACUUAAGCAUAUCAAUAAGCGGAGGAAAAGAAACCAACAGGGAUUGCCUCAGUAACGGCGAGUGAAGCGGCAACAGCUCAAAUUUGAAAUCUGGCCCAGGCCCGAGUUGUAAUUUGCAGAGGAUGCUUUUGGCGCGGUGCCUUCCGAGUUCCCUGGAAACGGGACGCCAUAGAGGGUGAGAGCCCCGUCUGGUUGGACACCAAGCCUUUGUAAAGCUCCUUCGACGAGUCGAGUAGUUUGGGAAUGCUGCUCUAAAUGGGAGGUACAUGUCUUCUAAAGCUAAAUACCGGCCAGAGACCGAUAGCGCACAAGUAGAGUGAUCGAAAGAUGAAAAGCACUUUGGAAAGAGAGUUAAACAGCACGUGAAAUUGUUAAAAGGGAAGCGUUUAUGACCAGACGUGGGCCGGUUAAUCAUCCAGCGUUCUCGCUGGUGCACUUUGCCGGUCCAGGCCAGCAUCAGUUCGUUGCGGGGGAUAAAGGCUUUGGGAAUGUAGCUCCUCGGAGUGUUAUAGCCCUUUGCGUAAUACCCUGCGGCGGACUGAGGUUCGCGCUCUGCAAGGAUGCUGGCGUAAUGGUCAUCAACGACCCGUCUUGAAACACGGACCAAGGAGUCGUCUUCGUAUGCGAGUGUUCGGGUGUAAAACCCCUACGCGAAAUGAAAGUGAACGCAGGUGAGAGCUUCGGCGCAUCAUCGACCGAUCCUGAUGUUCUCGGAUGGAUUUGAGUAAGAGCAUACGGGGCCGGACCCGAAAGAAGGUGAACUAUGCCUGUAUAGGGUGAAGCCAGAGGAAACUCUGGUGGAGGCUCGCAGCGGUUCUGACGUGC